UACGGGGGGAGCAAGCGUUGUUCGGAUUUACUGGGCGUAAAGGGCGCGUAGGCGGUCAGCACAAGUCAGUUGUGAAAUCUCCGGGCUUAACUCGGAAAGGUCAACUGAUACUGUGCGACUAGAGUGCGGAAGGGGCAACUGGAAUUCUUGGUGUAGCGGUGAAAUGCGUAGAUAUCAAGAGGAACACCUGCGGCGAAGGCGGGCUGCUGGGCCGACACUGACGCUGAGGCGCGAAAGCCAGGGGAGCGAACGGG
RNAcentral lists this ribosomal RNA (254 nucleotides) under uncultured bacterium. Its description in RNAcentral is "partial 16S ribosomal RNA". It matches the Rfam family "Bacterial small subunit ribosomal RNA", at positions 524 to 776 of the family's 1533-position model. The record is from RNAcentral.